GAGACGCUUUGACUGCAAUCCAUGGGGAACGAAGAGAAAGCUCUUAUCAAUAAUCAGAUUAUUAAACACAAAAAGAUCAUAGAAUUGCACUUUUGCCACUGUUAUAGAGAUGCCUGGGAAAACACAUGCAAAUUCUCUCCGUGCUCGCAUUUCCAACGCAAAUAUCUUUCAUUUACCGUAACACCUUAUCUCCCCAAAAUUAGGAGCAGAACAUAUAUAUUGCAAGUUACAGCACCAAGUCCCAUCAUCAGUUUCAACCUUCACAUGCACAUGACUGUACAAUGAAAAUGUCUCUCUCUUACAUGAUGUGCGUCACCAUAAUUUAUCGUGAAAAAUACCAUCAAUUAGCUGCUUGCUAAUAAAAACUAUCAACACCGGCCAAAAUCUAAAUCAAUUAUCACAUAUAUACUGAUGGAGUUUGCCAUUUGAACUUGACAAGUAGCUAAAUGAGGAACAGAAAUUCACUAGGAGAACCAUAAUAUUUUCAGAUGCUCAAGUAAAUGGUGUUACUAAAUAAAAAAGGGAAGGGAAGAGAGAGCCGUCCAAAAUAAUAUAGCAAUUUAGCAGUCUGAUAUCCUAAAGCAAGGAGGCAGCAACAACAGUUUUACCUGUAUAUCUCGAAUAAGAAGAAGGGUAGCAAGAGAUCGUGAGUCAGAAUGCACAACAGAGUCCUCUAACGACUCAUCUGCAAGAAUUAAUAUCUGUCCCUUAAGAGUUAGUAAUAAGUAGUAAAAGUGAGCUCAUAGAAGAAAAUCCGAAAUGUGCUUGUGUAUGACAAGAAAAGUUUCAUUUUAAAUGCAAAUGAGUUUCUGAAAAAGUUGUUGAGUAAUCCUACAACAAUAAAUAUUUUGGUUAUUAUUACUCAACACUACCAAAAUACUUGACAGCUGUUAACGGACCCUUGCUUAGCAAAACAAACGCAUGAAUUAUUCACACAGUAGUAGAUCCACACUGUCAAGGGGAGCUUGUUUAGCUCUAAACCAAAAUCAAUGGUGAGCCCAAUGCAAUUUCCUGGGCAGUCUCCCUUCAAUGUUCAAAUUUUCUUCAGUUCUCCGCCUCUAAAGCAACCUUUCGCACCUAAUGCUUCUUCUCCAGUCUCCACUAUCAGUUUAGUGAGUCAAUUGAGCUUCGUAUCUAGUAAAGCUUAUUUCCUUCCAAAUCCUUCCUCUAACUUAACAUGGGAUUCAGUGACUUCUA
This 1197-nucleotide unclassified non-coding RNA is filed under the name Hevea brasiliensis (rubber tree). Lineage: Eukaryota; Viridiplantae; Streptophyta; Magnoliopsida; Malpighiales; Euphorbiaceae. The record is from RNAcentral.